CACGAGGCUAGAGUCACACCUUGGCAUUGUUGUCUUGGCGUGCUAAAGUGCUCGCAGAUUAAAAAUGUCGGUAUUUAUUCAUUGGCUGUAGUCUGGAGUGGCCCAGCCAAUCACCAAAUCUGACACAUCA
Molecule: small nucleolar RNA, 130 nt
Organism: Syngnathus acus (greater pipefish)
Lineage: Eukaryota; Metazoa; Chordata; Actinopteri; Syngnathiformes; Syngnathidae
Product: small nucleolar RNA SNORA3/SNORA45 family
Exons: 1
Source: RefSeq, a predicted model, not a curated record